Thunnus maccoyii (southern bluefin tuna) is the source of this 2514-nucleotide long non-coding RNA. RefSeq lists it as uncharacterized. The transcript is spliced from 3 exons. Lineage: Eukaryota; Metazoa; Chordata; Actinopteri; Scombriformes; Scombridae. The record is from RefSeq and is a predicted model, not a curated record.
AAAACCGCUCUUCAGAAACCAACGGGUGACGUCACGUCUCACCAUCAAGGGAGAGAAGAUGGAGGUGUUGGAGUCUUUCAGAUACAUUGGCAUCACACUGGGCAACAACAUCAGCUUCCAUCAGCAUAUCAAGGAUAUUUACAUGUGUUGUCAGCAGAAACUCACAACCAUCUGUAAACUAAACCACCUGUCUGUCCGACUCCAUCUUCUUCUUCUUCUCCUGUACUGUACUGGAGCAUUAUUGAGCCAGUUCUUCUGGAUGGUGCCAUCUGUUUAUUUCCACAUGCUUACAGUCACCCAUAAGAAUAAACUCUUAAAGAUUUAACCAGCAAACUCGUCGGUAUUCUCACCCCCGUCUUAUCCGAGUGAGUCACCUCAUCCCUGAUCCGCAAAGCACUCACAAUCACACCUGACCCCGGACCACCCACUCUCCCAGCACUUUACCCCCCCUUCCUUCUAGCUGUAGGUAUAAACUACCCAGCAAGAGCUUUGUUCCUACAGAAAUACGAGCUUUAAAUAAGUAAAACCUCCUCUUAAGUUACAAGAAAUCCAGUCUGUGGUGUGUAAAGCGUCAAUCCACGUCUUUGUCUCUGUUGUGUGACCUUUGUAAUUAAGUGUCGCUGUAAAUCCUGUGUUUUGUAUAACUGUAAAACUCUUCAAAUUUAAGAGUCGAAUAAUCUUUUCUACAUAUCUUUCCUCACAUUGGACUGUAUUGGUGUGUGUAGUUCAAAUACUUCACAUCAACAGACACAGUAUCUGUUUACAAUCUCAUUUUUUCUCCUUUUAUAUACUAUAAAUAUGAACAUCUGAUCUUUGUAACUGCAUUAACAAUGAGAGUAAAUAAAAAGGGUUACCCCCCUGGUGGACACUGGAUGAAUUACACCUGUCUUUGUUUCCACUGAUUAGAGAUAAACCAGUAUCACCUGAGACUGACCCACUUAGACACCAGGAAGUAGUUCCUCUCACUCAUAUUGUUUUGGACCCAAACACAGUUUUUGACCACUCUCAACCUGAUAAACUGGGGAAAUCUUACUUUUAAAUGGCAGAUAGUUUACUGCACGUCAGAGAGACGACUGAGAGGGGAAACUUGAGUUUCGGAUACCUGGAUACGUCGUUAUCUGAAGGAUUUUGGAGCCAUUAUUUGAUUCUUCUAUGAUCCACCUGUUGGAAGGAAUCAGGGAAAUCAUCCAAGAGACUCUCACACAAAGGAUUAUAUCGACAAACCGCGUCUUUGUGUUCCCCCCGAAAAAACUAAAGAAUCCUUCCUGAAGUUCAGUCCAAGAGAGAAAAAACACAGCUGGAUGGAAACAAAUCUCACAAAGCCGACGACUGUAAAGGACGACAGUAACAAAGGUGAGACAACUUUCUUCCUUUAAAUUUGUGACCAGAACAACAGAUUCUGGUGUCAGUUUGGGUCUGAAAACUAAACAAAAACACUAAAUCAGAUAUUAAAGACUCAAUAAAAGUUAAAAUCUGACUCUGAAACAUCACGUUAACACUUGUAGCCACGAUUUGUGUGACCUGUCAUGAAGAAAAGUAGCUGCAGAUGCGAAAUUUGCAGUUUUAACAGUAAAGUGACGGAAGCAACUAACAAUACAAACUUGACAAACAUGUCUGUCUGUUACUGGAAAUAAUGAAAACAACAACAAAGCAAAGCUAACAGAACGUCAUUGGUGGAUUCGGUUCAACUUCCUGUAACAUGUUGAAUUUCUGCAACAGGUUUUUUCCACAACUUGUACAAGAAAGAAACACGUAUGAAAGAACAAAAAUCCAAAUCUGAAUAAAACACGCUUCGCUAGUUUCUCGGCUGAAUUCGGAGGUCGACCCUGAAACGGGAAACGUCUUUGUGCUGCGUCUGUUCCGUCCAGCUGUGCUGAUGUUGCCUCUUGGAUUUCUUCUUCACUGCUUUUAAACCGGGAUCAUAAGAGGGACCGAACACUUUCAGCUGGCAGUUUAACUUCAACUUGAUAAAUCAAAUUUAGGUUGUUCUCACCAUUAAACACUGCUGGUCGUCCUUGAACUUAAGCUGCUCUUUUAAAAUAUGAUCCAAUAGUUUGUAUCAGCAGUUAAAUUUCUUGUGUAACAUCACGUUUACUUUGUUUUUUUUUACCUUUUAGGAACUUGCAAGUCAUCUCCACUGGAGGACAAAUGACAACAACAUGGAGGUCACAGUGAGCAUCAUGUUUCUAACAAUCAUUUUUUUAUGCACUCUAGCACAUAAUAGACCUAAAUGGAAAUGCCAUAAUUUGAACUCUGAAAUAGCCGAUUUUGAUUCUCUAAAUACCAAAAAAAAGCCAGAAAGCAGCAAAGAAACGUCACAACUGCUUCUCUUUUAAUCUUUUAAUCUUGUUUUGCUCUCUUAACUCUCCUGUUGUCUUCCCGUCGACCCGGGUCAAUUUUGACCCGGGAGGACAAAAGUUGCAAAAGUUCACAGAUGCUGUAAAUUUUAAUUAAAACACUUAAAAUUCAAUGAAAGUAGUGAUCAUUACUUUUACAUGCAAAGUGUGUGGUACG